AGUGAACGCUGGCGGUAGGCCUAACACGUGCAAGUCGAACGGCAGCACAGUAAGAGCUUGCUCUUACGGGUGGCGAGUGGCGGACGGGUGGGGAAUACAUCGGAAUCUACUUUUUCGUGGGGGAUAACGUAGGGAAACUUACGCUAAUACCGCAUACGACCUACGGGUGAAAGCAGGGGAUCUUCGGACCUUGCGCGAUUGAAUGAGCCGAUGUCGGAUUAGCUAGUUGGCGGGGUAAAGGCCCACCAAGGCGACGAUCCGUAGCUGGUCUGAGAGGAUGUUCAGCCACACUGGAACUGAGACACGGUCCAGACUCCUACGGGAGGCAGCAGUGGGGAAUAUUGGACAAUGGGCGCAAGCCUGAUCCAGCCAUACCGCGUGGGUGAAGAAGGCCUUCGGGUUGUAAAGCCCUUUUGUUGGGAAAGAAAAGCAGCAGGUUAAUACCCCGCUGUUCUGACGGUACCCAAAGAAUAAGCACCGGCUAACUUCGUG
This 492-nucleotide ribosomal RNA is filed under the name uncultured bacterium. RNAcentral's name for it is "partial 16S ribosomal RNA". It matches the Rfam family "Bacterial small subunit ribosomal RNA", at positions 29 to 507 of the family's 1533-position model. The record is from RNAcentral.